Molecule: non-coding RNA, 21 nt
Filed under: Caenorhabditis elegans
Lineage: Eukaryota; Metazoa; Nematoda; Chromadorea; Rhabditida; Rhabditidae
Source: RNAcentral
UCCAUCAUCUUUCUCCCAAAU